This 618-nucleotide ribosomal RNA is filed under the name Bacillus sp. WMB18. RNAcentral describes it as "SSU rRNA". It matches the Rfam family "Bacterial small subunit ribosomal RNA", at positions 367 to 975 of the family's 1533-position model. Lineage: Bacteria; Bacillati; Bacillota; Bacilli; Caryophanales; Bacillaceae. The record is from RNAcentral.
CGCAAUGGACGAAAGUCUGACGGAGCAACCCCGCGUGAGUGAUGAAGGCUUUCGGGUCGUAAAACUCUGUUGUUAGGGAAGAACAAGUGCUAGUUGAAUAAGCUGGCACCUUGACGGUACCUAACCAGAAAGCCACGGCUAACUACGUGCCAGCAGCCGCGGUAAUACGUAGGUGGCAAGCGUUAUCCGGAAUUAUUGGGCGUAAAGCCCGCGCAGGUGGUUUCUUAAGUCUGAUGUGAAAGCCCACGGCUCAACCGUGGAGGGUCAUUGGAAACUGGGAGACUUGAGAGCAGAAGAGGAAAGUGGAAUUCCAUGUGUAGCGGUGAAAUGCGUAGAGAUAUGGAGGAACACCAGUGGCGAAGGCGACUUUCUGGUCUGUAACUGACACUGAGGCGCGAAAGCGUGGGGAGCAAACAGGAUUAGAUACCCUGCUAGUCCACGCCGUAAACGAUGAGUGCCAAGUGUUAGAGGGUUUCCGCCCUUUAGUGCUGAAGUUAACGCAUUAAGCACUCCGCCUGGGGAGUACGGCCGCAAGGCUGAAACUCAAAGGAAGUGACGGGGGCCCGCACAAGCGGUGGAGCAUGUGGUUUAAUUCGAAGCAACGCGAAGAAACUUACC